GCAUGAUGCUGUUUGUCCCCACUCCUCCAGCUCUGCCUACCCGGACUGGUGCCAGCACCAAGGCAGGCCAACUGGAAAAAGGAGCUAAAGCCUUCCCCUGCCUUUCAUGUUUGGGCUAUAGCUACAAAGGUAUUUCAGACGUGACUCCCAAUGUUUCCUUGAGCUGCACUGUUAUUACAGAAAGAUCGUCCUUGGUAUAGCAGAUUUUUACUGAUUCAGCUACUCUAUGGGUUAAUCAGUCAUACUGACUCUGAAAAUAAAACUCAUUAGCAAAUUUGUUCAAGAGCUUGUAUGGAAGUGAGGACAAAGGGGAACGGUAAGAAUUAGGCUGAGGUUUGUAACAGUUUCUUUUCUGGAAUGACUCCGUUUCAGAGGUUAUAAGGAGCAAGACCAGUCCAAGAAGAAAUGAAGGCUGAAACUAAAGACAAAACUUGAAGGCUCAGCAGGCAGCUGAAGGAAGAUUGGGCUAAAGGACAACUGUGUAUCCUGCAGUCUGUAUACAGAUUUGAAAUCUGCUUUGGACAUCUGCAGCACACAGUUUGGCAGAUCUUGGGACUUUGCCUUGUGGCAGAAAAUGCCAAAAAGGAAUGCAAGAUUAAUUCUACUCAUGGCUGCCGCAGCACCUUAAUCUGUGUGUGUCUGGGUGAAGAAUACUGUGUUCAACUUCCCUUUCCUGGAUGUUGCACUGUGUUGAUCACUGCCCUGCCUCUGCAAAUCCUAUUUGAAAAUCUCAUUUGCAGCAUAACUGACAACAAAGGCGUUACAUGGUGUAUGCCCUGCAUAUUCUGCAGACUACUCCUUGUCUUUUUUCAUAUGCAAAGCAUGCAUCAGCCACAUCCAUGCUAUCUCCUAAAGCAGCCAUUCUGAAACCCAAUCUGGGGACAGUGCAGACUAAAUAAAAUUUCAUUUUGAUUUGGCCUCCCGCUGAGA
Molecule: long non-coding RNA, 930 nt
Filed under: Struthio camelus australis
Lineage: Eukaryota; Metazoa; Chordata; Aves; Struthioniformes; Struthionidae
Description: lncRNA (ENSSCUG00000008156.1)
Source: RNAcentral